RNAcentral lists this transfer RNA (72 nucleotides) under Stegodyphus mimosarum. It matches the Rfam family "tRNA". Rfam says of the family: Transfer RNA (tRNA) molecules are approximately 80 nucleotides in length. Their secondary structure includes four short double-helical elements and three loops (D, anti-codon, and T loops). The record is from Rfam by way of RNAcentral. Lineage: Eukaryota; Metazoa; Arthropoda; Arachnida; Araneae; Eresidae.
GCCUUCGGGUGUAAUGGUCAGCACACUGAGCCGGUAUUUCAGAGGUCCGCGGUUCGAUUCCCGGCGAAGGCG